Molecule: small RNA, 1051 nt
Filed under: Pan troglodytes (chimpanzee)
Lineage: Eukaryota; Metazoa; Chordata; Mammalia; Primates; Hominidae
Description: retained intron
Source: RNAcentral
CCACUCCCACUCCUCCCAAGGAAACACGCCCUAAACUGCCACCGAAUGAAGCCUGCUCUCUUUAGCGUCCUGUGUGAAAUCAAGGAGAAAACCGGUAUGUGGGCCCCCCCCCGGAUUGCUCAACUCUGGGAACAGAACCCUGUUCAUUAUAGGGCUAGAGUGUGACAACUUGGGGCCCUGAGGAAAGUAAGGAAUCAGGGGGACUGGGGAAGGAACCAAAGCCUGGGAACUUGGCUCUCCAGGAAGCACCAGGAGGACUGAGCACUGGGUAUCGGGGUCUCUGGGUCCCUAAGUCCACUCGCCUGCAUGCUAGGCCUCAGCAUUCGGAGCUCCCAGGAGGAGGAGCCGGUGGACCCACAGCUGAUGCGCUUGGACAACAUGCUUCUGGCAGAGGGUGUGGCUGGGCCCGAGAAAGGGGGCGGCUCAGCAGCAGCAGCUGCAGCCGCUGCAGCCUCUGGUGGUGGCGUGUCCCCUGACAACUCCAUCGAACACUCGGACUAUCGCAGCAAACUUGCCCAGAUCCGUCACAUAUACCACUCGGAGCUGGAGAAGUAUGAGCAGGCAUGUAAUGAGUUCACGACCCAUGUCAUGAACCUGCUGAGGGAGCAGAGCCGCACCAGGCCCGUGGCCCCCAAAGAGAUGGAACGCAUGGUGAGCAUCAUCCAUCGAAAGUUCAGCGCCAUCCAGAUGCAGCUGAAGCAGAGCACCUGCGAGGCUGUGAUGAUCCUGCGCUCCCGUUUCCUGGAUGCCAGACGAAAGCGCCGUAACUUCAGCAAACAGGCCACUGAGGUCCUAAAUGAGUAUUUCUACUCCCACCUGAGUAACCCAUAUCCUAGUGAGGAGGCCAAGGAGGAGCUUGCCAAGAAGUGUGGCAUCACCGUGUCUCAGGUCUCCAACUGGUUUGGCAACAAGAGGAUUCGCUAUAAGAAAAACAUCGGAAAGUUCCAAGAGGAGGCAAACAUCUAUGCUGUCAAGACCGCCGUGUCAGUCACCCAGGGGGGCCACAGCCGCACCAGCUCCCCGACACCCCCUUCCUCUGCAGGUGGAUCCC